AUUGAACGCUGGCGGCAGGCUUAACACAUGCAAGUCGAGCGGUAACAGAGAGAAGCUUGCUUCUCUGCUGACGAGCGGCGGACGGGUGAGUAAUGCCUAGGAAUCUGCCUAGUAGUGGGGGAUAACUUGCCGAAAGGUAAGCUAAUACCGCAUACGUCCUACGGGAGAAAGGAGGGGACCUUCGGGCCUUUCGCUAUUAGAUGAGCCUAGGUCGGAUUAGUUAGUUGGUGAGGUAAUGGCUCACCAAGACCGCGAUCCGUAACUGGUCUGAGAGGGUGAUCAGUCACACUGGAACUGAGACGCGGUCCAGGCUCCUACGGGAGGCAGCAGUGGGGAAUAUUGGACAAUGGGGGGAACCCUGAUCCAGCCAUGCCGCGUGUGUGAAGGAGGUCUUAGGAUUGUAAAGCACUUUAAGUUGGGAGGAAGAGCAGUUAACUAAUAUUUGACUGUUUUGACGUUACCGACAGAAUAAGCACCGGCUAACUUCGUGCCAGCCGCCGCCGUAA
RNAcentral lists this ribosomal RNA (506 nucleotides) under uncultured bacterium. RNAcentral's name for it is "partial 16S ribosomal RNA". It matches the Rfam family "Bacterial small subunit ribosomal RNA", at positions 30 to 523 of the family's 1533-position model. The record is from RNAcentral.